This 253-nucleotide ribosomal RNA is filed under the name uncultured bacterium. RNAcentral's name for it is "partial 16S ribosomal RNA". It matches the Rfam family "Bacterial small subunit ribosomal RNA", at positions 524 to 776 of the family's 1533-position model. RNAcentral also lists the same sequence under 2 other names. The record is from RNAcentral.
UACGUAGGGUGCAAGCGUUGUCCGGAAUUAUUGGGCGUAAAGAGCUCGUAGGCGGUCUGUCGCGUCUGCUGUGAAAACUCAGGGCUUAACCCUGAGCUUGCAGUGGGUACGGGCAGACUAGAGUGCGGUAGGGGAGACUGGAAUUCCUGGUGUAGCGGUGAAAUGCGCAGAUAUCAGGAGGAACACCGGUGGCGAAGGCGGGUCUCUGGGCCGUAACUGACGCUGAGGAGCGAAAGCAUGGGGAGCGAACAGG